UUAGUACGGCGAGUGAAGCGGUAAAAGCUCAAAUUUGAAAUCUGGUACUUUCAGUGCCCGAGUUGUAAUUUGUAGAAUUUGUCUUUGAUUAGGUCCUUGUCUAUGUUCCUUGGAACAGGACGUCAUAGAGGGUGAGAAUCCCGUUUGGCGAGGAUACCUUUUCUCUGUAAGACUUUUUCGAAGAGUCGAGUUGUUUGGGAAUGCAGCUCAAAGUGGGUGGUAAAUUCCAUCUAAAGCUAAAUAUUGGCGAGAGACCGAUAGCGAACAAGUACAGUGAUGGAAAGAUGAAAAGAACUUUGAAAAGAGAGUGAAAAAGUACGUGAAAUUGUUGAAAGGGAAGGGCAUUUGAUCAGACAUGGUGUUUUUUGCAUGCACUCGCCUCUCGUGGGCUUGGGCCUCUCAAAAAUUUCACUGGGCCAACAUCAAUUCUGGCAGCAGGAUAAAUCAUUAAGAAUGUAGCUACUUCGGUAGUGUUAUAGCUUUUUGGAAUACUGUUAGCCGGGAUUGAGGACUGCGCUUCGGCAAGGAUGUUGGCAUAAUGGUUAAAUGCCGCCCGUCUUGAAA
RNAcentral lists this ribosomal RNA (564 nucleotides) under Hanseniaspora uvarum. RNAcentral describes it as "partial large subunit ribosomal RNA". It matches the Rfam family "Eukaryotic large subunit ribosomal RNA", at positions 80 to 659 of the family's 3401-position model. The record is from RNAcentral. Lineage: Eukaryota; Fungi; Ascomycota; Saccharomycetes; Saccharomycodales; Saccharomycodaceae.